AUUGAACGCUGGCGGCAAGCUUAACACAUGCAAGUCGAACGAUGAAACUCUAGCUUGCUAGAGAAGAUUAGUGGCGGACGGGUGAGUAACAUUUAGGAAUCUGCCUAGUAGUGGGGGAUAGCUCGGGGAAACUCGAAUUAAUACCGCAUACGACCUACGGGUGAAAGGGGGCGCAAGCUCUUGCUAUUAGAUGAGCCUAAAUCAGAUUAGCUAGUUGGUGGGGUAAAGGCCCACCAAGGCGACGAUCUGUAACUGGUCUGAGAGGAUGAUCAGUCACACCGGAACUGAGACACGGUCCGGACUCCUACGGGAGGCAGCAGUGGGGAAUAUUGGACAAUGGGGGCAACCCUGAUCCAGCCAUGCCGCGUGUGUGAAGAAGGCCUUUUGGUUGUAAAGCACUUUAAGCAGGGAGGAGAGGCUAAUGGUUAAUACCCAUUAGAUUAGACGUUACCUGCAGAAUAAGCACCGGCUAACUCUGUGCCAGCAGCCGCGGUAAUACAGAGGGUGCGAGCGUUAAUCGGAAUUACUGGGCGUAAAGCGAGUGUAGGUGGCUCAUUAAGUCACAUGUGAAAUCCCCGGGCUUAACCUGGGAACUGCAUGUGAUACUGGUGGUGCUAGAAUAUGUGAGAGGGAAGUAGAAUUCCAGGUGUAGCGGUGAAAUGCGUAGAGAUCUGGAGGAAUACCGAUGGCGAAGGCAGCUUCCUGGCAUAAUAUUGACACUGAGAUUCGAAAGCGUGGGUAGCAAACAGGAUUAGAUACCCUGGUAGUCCACGCCGUAAACGAUGUCUACUAGCCGUUGGGGUCCUUGAGACUUUAGUGGCGCAGUUAACGCGAUAAGUAGACCGCCUGGGGAGUACGGCCGCAAGGUUAAAACUCAAAUGAAUUGACGGGGGCCCGCACAAGCGGUGGAGCAUGUGGUUUAAUUCGAUGCAACGCGAAGAACCUUACCUGGUCUUGACAUAGUGAGAAUCUUUCAGAGAUGAGAGAGUGCCUUCGGGAAUUCACAUACAGGUGCUGCAUGGCUGUCGUCAGCUCGUGUCGUGAGAUGUUGGGUUAAGUCCCGCAACGAGCGCAACCCUUUUCCUUAUUUGCCAGCGGGUUAAGCCGGGAACUUUAAGGAUACUGCCAGUGACAAACUGGAGGAAGGCGGGGACGACGUCAAGUCAUCAUGGCCCUUACGACCAGGGCUACACACGUGCUACAAUGGUAGGUACAGAGGGUUGCUACACAGCGAUGUGAUGCUAAUCUCAAAAAGCCUAUCGUAGUCCGGAUUGGAGUCUGCAACUCGACUCCAUGAAGUCGGAAUCGCUAGUAAUCGCAGAUCAGAAUGCUGCGGUGAAUACGUUCCCGGGCCU
RNAcentral lists this ribosomal RNA (1355 nucleotides) under uncultured bacterium. Its description in RNAcentral is "bacterial SSU rRNA". It matches the Rfam family "Bacterial small subunit ribosomal RNA", at positions 28 to 1381 of the family's 1533-position model. The record is from RNAcentral.